GCCGGCUUGCCGGCUAUGGAAAUAAAUCGCCGUCGAAAUAAACCAUUCGGACCCGGGGGCGGUACCCGGCGCCUCCACCA
RNAcentral lists this transfer-messenger RNA (80 nucleotides) under Bradyrhizobium sp. ORS 278. RNAcentral's name for it is "transfer-messenger RNA Brady_sp_ORS278". It matches the Rfam family "Alphaproteobacteria transfer-messenger RNA", at positions 40 to 119 of the family's 355-position model. From Rfam's summary of the family: Bacterial tmRNA, also known as 10Sa RNA or SsrA, is named for its dual tRNA and mRNA-like properties. Lineage: Bacteria; Pseudomonadati; Pseudomonadota; Alphaproteobacteria; Hyphomicrobiales; Nitrobacteraceae. RNAcentral also lists the same sequence under 1 other name. The record is from RNAcentral.